Molecule: small RNA, 76 nt
Filed under: Salmonella enterica
Lineage: Bacteria; Pseudomonadati; Pseudomonadota; Gammaproteobacteria; Enterobacterales; Enterobacteriaceae
Also listed under: 3 other names
Description: partial RtT sRNA
Rfam family: RtT RNA
About the family: This family represents a bacterial cis-regulatory element known as RtT RNA.
Source: RNAcentral
AGCGAGAAAGCGUUGCCAACGGCAACGACCCGAAGGGUGAAGCGCGCAGCGCUGAGUAAUCCUUCCCCCACCACCA